Molecule: long non-coding RNA, 469 nt
Filed under: Fukomys damarensis (Damara mole-rat)
Lineage: Eukaryota; Metazoa; Chordata; Mammalia; Rodentia; Bathyergidae
Description: lncRNA (ENSFDAG00000025246.1)
Source: RNAcentral
UACUUUUUAAGAGUUUGUGAGUGCAUAGUAUUAAUUCUUUAAAUUUCUUGAAUCAUUCACUAGUGGAAUCACCCUGCCCUGAGCCUAAAGCUCACAACAAGCACCUCCUCCUGGAUGGGGAUCCUUCCCAGCUGAGCUCUCAGGCAGACCACAGCCUUAGUCAUGAUUGAUCAUUUCUGAUUUCUGGCCAGAGAAACUCCCCCCCCAAGCAAGAUCCUGCCCAACAGAGAGAGAAAAACCCUAACCGAUGCAUUGCCUACAAGAACAGUGAUGACAGGAAGCCCGCUACAACCUCGCUCAUUCACACCUGCAAGGAGGCCGAUUCUCCAAAAACCAACGGCACCCAUUCUACCCUGCUGAACCUGCCAUUGCCCUGCUUGCUGCUAGUCCAGGUCUCCUCAUCAGGUCAGGUGAGUGACACUUUUACUCAACCUUUUCACCCACUCCCUCUCCGAACCUCUCCUGUCCA